GCGACGCCACGUGAGGGAUGACGGCCUUCGGGUUGUAAACCUCUUUCAGCAGGGAAGAAGCGAAAGUGACGGUACCUGCAGAAGAAGCGCCGGCUAACUACGUGCCAGCAGCCGCGGUAAUACGUAGGGCGCAAGCGUUGUCCGGAAUUAUUGGGCGUAAAGAGCUCGUAGGCGGUCUGUCGCGUCUGGUGUGAAAUCCCAUGGCUCAACUGUGGGCUUGCAUCGGGUACGGGCAGACUAGAGUGCUGUAGGGGAGACUGGAAUUCCUGGUGUAGCGGUGGAAUGCGCAGAUAUCAGGAGGAACACCGAUGGCGAAGGCAGGUCUCUGGGCAGUUACUGACGCUGAGGAGCGAAAGCAUGGGGAGCGAACAGGAUUAGAUACCCUGGUAGUCCAUGCCGUAAACGUUGGGCACUAGGUGUGGGGCGGGUUCCACUCGUUCUGUGCCGCAGCUAACGCAUUAAGUGCCCCGCCUGGGGAGUACGGCCGCAAGGCUA
This 495-nucleotide ribosomal RNA is filed under the name uncultured Actinomycetes bacterium. Its description in RNAcentral is "bacterial SSU rRNA". It matches the Rfam family "Bacterial small subunit ribosomal RNA", at positions 391 to 896 of the family's 1533-position model. The record is from RNAcentral. Lineage: Bacteria; Bacillati; Actinomycetota; Actinomycetes.